RNAcentral lists this ribosomal RNA (347 nucleotides) under uncultured bacterium. RNAcentral describes it as "partial 16S ribosomal RNA". It matches the Rfam family "Bacterial small subunit ribosomal RNA", at positions 338 to 682 of the family's 1533-position model. The record is from RNAcentral.
CCUACGGGUGGCUGCAGUGAGGAAUAUUGGUCAAUGGGCGCGAGCCUGAACCAGCCAAGUAGCGUGAAGGAUGACUGCCCUACGGGUUGUAAACUUCUUUUAUAAAGGAAUAAAGUGAGGCACGUGUGCCUUUUUGUAUGUACUUUAUGAAUAAGGAUCGGCUAACUCCGUGCCAGCAGCCGCGGUAAUACGGAGGAGCCGAGCGUUAUCCGGAUUUAUUGGGGUUAAAGGGAGCGUAGAUGGGUUGUUAAGUCAGUUGUGAAAGUUGGCGGCUCAACCGUAAAAUUGCAAUUGUUACUGGCAGCCUUUCGUACAGUUGCGGUAGGCCGCAUUCGUGGUGUCGCGGU